This 323-nucleotide ribosomal RNA is filed under the name uncultured eukaryote. RNAcentral describes it as "partial 18S ribosomal RNA". It matches the Rfam family "Eukaryotic small subunit ribosomal RNA", at positions 1470 to 1796 of the family's 1831-position model. The record is from RNAcentral.
CCCUUAGAUGUCCUGGGCCGCACGCGCGCUACACUGAUGCAAUCAACGAGUUUCCUUGGCCGAGAGGCCUGGGCAAUCUUUUUAACCUGCAUCGUGAUAGGGAUAGAUUAUUGCAAUUAUUAAUCUUGAACGAGGAAUUCCUAGUAAACGCAGAUCAUCAAUCUGCAUUGAUUACGUCCCUGCCCUUUGUACACACCGCCCGUCGCACCUACCGAUUGAAUGGUCCGGUGAAGCCUCGAGAUUGUGAUUGGUUCCCUUUAUUGGGGAUUUUUUGCGAGAACUUGUCUAAACCUUAUCAUUUAGAGGAAGGUGAAGUCGUAACA